RNAcentral lists this transfer RNA (69 nucleotides) under Martes martes (European pine marten). Its description in RNAcentral is "tRNA-Lys". It matches the Rfam family "tRNA". Rfam says of the family: Transfer RNA (tRNA) molecules are approximately 80 nucleotides in length. Their secondary structure includes four short double-helical elements and three loops (D, anti-codon, and T loops). Lineage: Eukaryota; Metazoa; Chordata; Mammalia; Carnivora; Mustelidae. The record is from RNAcentral.
UCAUUGAGAAGCUAGAUAGCAUUAACCUUUUAAGUUAAAGACUGAGAGUGUAAACCUCUCCUCAAUGGC